RNAcentral lists this transfer RNA (73 nucleotides) under Epifagus virginiana (beechdrops). Its description in RNAcentral is "tRNA-Phe". It matches the Rfam family "tRNA". From Rfam's summary of the family: Transfer RNA (tRNA) molecules are approximately 80 nucleotides in length. Their secondary structure includes four short double-helical elements and three loops (D, anti-codon, and T loops). Further hydrogen bonds mediate the characteristic L-shaped molecular structure. tRNAs have two regions of fundamental functional importance: the anti-codon, which is responsible for specific mRNA codon recognition, and the 3' end, to which the tRNAs corresponding amino acid is attached (by aminoacyl-tRNA synthetases). tRNAs cope with the degeneracy of the genetic code in two manners: having more than one tRNA (with a specific anti-codon) for a particular amino acid; and 'wobble' base-pairing, i.e. permitting non-standard base-pairing at the 3rd anti-codon position. The record is from RNAcentral. Lineage: Eukaryota; Viridiplantae; Streptophyta; Magnoliopsida; Lamiales; Orobanchaceae.
GUCGGGAUAGCUCAGCAGGUAGAGCAUAGGACUGAAAAUCCUAGUGCCAUCAGUUCAAAUCUGAUUCCUGGCA